GUCUAUGGCCAUGCCACCCUGAACCAGCCUGAUGUCUGGUCUCAGAAGCUAAGCAGGCUUCAGCCUGGCUAAUACUUGGAUGGGAGACCACCUAGGAAUACCAGCUACUGUAGUCA
RNAcentral lists this ribosomal RNA (116 nucleotides) under Pteropus vampyrus (large flying fox). The record is from RNAcentral. Lineage: Eukaryota; Metazoa; Chordata; Mammalia; Chiroptera; Pteropodidae.